RNAcentral lists this ribosomal RNA (492 nucleotides) under uncultured bacterium. RNAcentral describes it as "partial 16S ribosomal RNA". It matches the Rfam family "Bacterial small subunit ribosomal RNA", at positions 29 to 507 of the family's 1533-position model. The record is from RNAcentral.
AGUGAACGCUGGCGGUAGGCCUAACACAUGCAAGUCGAACGGCAGCACAGUAAAAGCUUGCUCUUACGGGUGGCGAGUGGCGGACGGGUGAGGAAUACAUCGGAAUCUACUUUUUCGUGGGGGAUAACGUAGGGAAACUUACGCUAAUACCGCAUACGACCUACGGGUGAAAGCAGGGGAUCUUCGGACCUUGCGCGAUUGAAUGAGCCGAUGUCGGAUUAGCUAGUUGGCGGGGUAAAGGCCCACCAAGGCGACGAUCCGUAGCUGGUCUGAGAGGAUGAUCAGCCACACUGGAACUGAGACAGGGCCCAGACUCCUACGGGAGGCAGCAGUGGGGAAUAUUGGACAAUGGGCGCAAGCCUGAUCCAGCCAUACCGCGUGGGUGAAGAAGGCCUUCGGGUUGUAAAGCCCUUUUGUUGGGAAAGAAAAGCAGCAGGUUAAUACCCCGCUGUUCUGACGGUACCCAAAGAAUAAGCACCGGCUAACUUCGUG